CGUAUAGUGGUAUAACUGUUCGUUCAUGUUGGAGUACUUCGGAUAUUAAGCGCAUGAGUUCCAGCCUACCCACGAGGGGGGAGACCUUGGCGGAAUCUCCGGUACCAAUCUGUCCUAAUCGAAUUGUGUCCUUGAAGUCCAUUGAGGGAUCUUAUAUAGUCCAGUGGUCCAUACAAAUGUCCAUAGCUGUAGGCCGGUUACGUAGUAGUCUGGUUGUUGAGUAAUACUAGUCUGUGGUUAAUUGUCAAACUAUGCAAUU
RNAcentral lists this long non-coding RNA (259 nucleotides) under Mytilus galloprovincialis (Mediterranean mussel). The record is from RNAcentral. Lineage: Eukaryota; Metazoa; Mollusca; Bivalvia; Mytilida; Mytilidae.